RNAcentral lists this ribosomal RNA (1264 nucleotides) under uncultured prokaryote. RNAcentral describes it as "partial 16S ribosomal RNA". It matches the Rfam family "Archaeal small subunit ribosomal RNA", at positions 78 to 1353 of the family's 1478-position model. The record is from RNAcentral.
UCGGCAAAACGCUCAGUAACACGUCGGUAAUCUGCCCUCUGGUCAGGGAUAAGCUCGGGAAACUGAAGGUAAACGAUGAUAGGAAAAUCGCCUGGAAUGGUUUUUUCCGAAACUCGUGCCAUAGGAUAGGCCGGCGGCGGAUUAGGUUGUUGGUGGGGUAAUGGCCCACCAAGCCGACGAUCCGUACGGGCCAUGAGAGUGGUAGCCCGGAGAGGGACACUGAGAUACUGGUCCCAGCCCUACGGGGUGCAGCAGGCGCGAAACCUUCACAAUGCACGCAAGUGUGAUGAGGGAACCCUAAGUGCUCAUGAAAUGCAUAGGCUUUUGCCAAGAGUAAAUAUCUUGGAGAAUAAGUGGUGGGUAAGACUGGUGCCAGCCGCCGCGGUAACACCAGCGCCACAAGUGGCAACCACGUUUAUUGGGCCUAAAGCGUCCGUAGCCGGUUUGGAAAAUCUCUUGUGAAAUCGUCAGGCUCAACCUGACGGCGUGCAUGAGACACUGCCAGACUCGAGACCGGGAGGAGUUAGAGGUAUUCCAUGGGGAUCGGUAAAAUGAGAUAAUCCAUGGAGGACCACCGAUGGCGAAGGCAUCUAACCAGAACGGAUCUGACGGUCAGGGACGAAGGCUAGGGGAGCGAUCCGGAUUAGAUACCCGAGUAGUCCUAGCAGUAAACGCUGCGAGCUAGGUGUUGCAUAUCCUACGAGGAUGUGCAGUGUCGAAACGAAGGUGAUAAGUUCACCGCCUGGGAAGUACGGUCGCAAGCCUGAAACUUUAAGGAAUUGGCGGGGGCGCACUACAAGGGGUGCGGCGUGCGGUUUAAUCUAACUCCACACAGAGAAUCUCACCAGAGGCGACGGCAGGAUGAAGGUCAGUCUGAAGGGCUUACCUGACGAGCCGAGAGGUAGUGCAUGGCCGCCGUCAGCUCGUGCCGUAAGGUGUCCUGUUAAGUCAGGCAACGAGCGAGACCUGUAUCCACAAUUGCUAACGACUCAUUUGAGGAUCGAGCACAUUGUGGGGACUGCCUUGGAAACAAGGAGGAAGGUGCAGGCAACGGUAGGUCUGUAUGCUCCGAAUCUUCUGGGCUACACGCGCGCAACAAUGGUACAGACAAUGGGCUGCAACUCCGAAAGGAGAAGCUAAUCCUCGAAACUGUAUCUUAGUUCAGAUUGAGGAUUGUAACUCAUCCUCAUGACGCUGGAAUCCCUAGUAAUCGAAUAUCAUCAAAUUCUGGUGAUAUGUCCUGCUCCUUGCACACACCGCCCGU